UCUUCGUUUAAUAAAGAACAAGUAUAAUUCGCCCAAAAUAGUAAGUAACCAUAAGCGUUGAUAUGUAAACUCUAGUGUUUGUGUCCUACAUAAAGCGAUUUGUGGUAUGCAAGGACAUAUACAUACCACAUUUUGGGAAGUUCUGUUGUAGAUUGUACCAGCUGUAUUCACCAUAUUCUUGGAGAGUCAGAUGAAUAAAUCUACCCGCUUCCAGUCCUUUCCUCCCAUCUCCCUCUCCCACACUAAAGUGAAUUGUGGGGCAUGACACAAGUUGGAGAGAGGCCCCAGGGAGUGUUCCAGGACUGAGGGAAAGGAGGAUUUGUGGCUACUCUGUGCCCUGCCAAUGGAAGUAAAAAUAGACCUACCUCCUGGGGUUAUUGUUAAGUUUCAGUGAGCCAGUGCAUACGGACUUUGCUUAUUAGCACAAUGCCUGGCCUUCCACUUUUCCUGAUCAUCUAUAGGCACUGGCCCCUUGAAUAACUUCACUCUGUAUGCUGGGUAUACAGUAAUAUUGCCAGCGCUGAAGCAGAAGAUGCAGACACUGUGAAAUGUGCUGUGGUCAACCAAGCUGUCCACAUGCCAGGAGAUUUAUUUCCCAUCUCUUCAGCAAGCUCUCUCCAUCCUGGGUGGCAUAGAGUAGAAGCUGAGAGUGUGGGCUCUGGACGCCGACAGCAUGGCUUCCAAUCCUGGCCUGUCCGUCACGUGUAGUUGAUGUGCUGUAAACAGCGACUGCCUACAAGAGAGGUUUGGAAUCUGUUGACUUUGGCUGGGAUGUAGCCUAAGGAGAUUCAUCGGUUUCCAAUUCCUGUUCUCUCAGGAUAUUAAGUAUUGCCAUGAACUGGAAAAUUUUUCUUUAUUAAAAUUGGAGGAAGAGUUGGAGUGUUUUGAAAGAGACCUGGAACAGGAAGGGAGCUGACAUGAGAAGUUCCACUGCAUUGCUUCAGAGAUGAUUUUUAUCUUUUUUGUGUUGCCGGUGCUCAGUGGCUUAAAUCUUCAGUACAACAAGGCAUCUUAACUAUGUUUCUGUGGACCAAGAGAAGAGCGGGUGAAUUACUCACACAUGGGCCAAAGUGAUCAAAGGAGUGCAUCUCUCUAUUCCACCCCAAGCUAGUUUGGUGUUGGCAGCAGUUGGCAGGCUUCCUAAGGUAGAGUGGUUUUUUUUUUUUUUUUUUUUUUU
RNAcentral lists this long non-coding RNA (1177 nucleotides) under Homo sapiens (human). Its description in RNAcentral is "HSALNT0329987". Lineage: Eukaryota; Metazoa; Chordata; Mammalia; Primates; Hominidae. The record is from RNAcentral.